AUAUCUCUCUGUACGGGAAGGAUGAGAAGCUUCGACUAAGGUUCGAUUCGAGCGCAGCGAGAAAGCGUUGCCGCAGGCAACGACCCGAAGGGCGAAGCGCGCAGCGCUGAGUAAU
RNAcentral lists this small RNA (115 nucleotides) under Salmonella enterica subsp. enterica serovar Muenchen. Its description in RNAcentral is "partial RtT sRNA". It matches the Rfam family "RtT RNA", at positions 1 to 114 of the family's 130-position model. From Rfam's summary of the family: This family represents a bacterial cis-regulatory element known as RtT RNA. The exact function of RtT is unknown although it is thought that it may be involved in changing the cellular response in relation to amino acid starvation. The record is from RNAcentral. Lineage: Bacteria; Pseudomonadati; Pseudomonadota; Gammaproteobacteria; Enterobacterales; Enterobacteriaceae. RNAcentral also lists the same sequence under 2 other names.